Molecule: long non-coding RNA, 404 nt
Filed under: Equus caballus (horse)
Lineage: Eukaryota; Metazoa; Chordata; Mammalia; Perissodactyla; Equidae
Description: lncRNA (ENSECAG00000045985.1)
Source: RNAcentral
AAACAACUAUGUCUGGCGAGUCCAUGGGCUCAAUCUUGAAUAGGGACACAAUUGGGAACCUUGAUUAUUACCAAAGCUUUGACCGGAAUGUUAUAUUUGAGAGAAACAUAAAGAUUCAGAUAUGACAAGACAGCUUUUGAGGAACAAAGAUUGGACUCUAUGAAAUAAAUCCAUUUGGAAAUAUUAGUCUGUUACCUUGUUUACAGGGUUCCCAGCAACCUUACCAGGAAUGUGAUGACCCCCAGGCAGCGAGUCUAUGCUGAUAGCCAUCAUCAAUGACAACUAAAAAAGCAAGAUCCUGUAACAUGCAGUGUCUGUGGAGGUCCAACAGGCUGACUUCUCCUUCCCAAGAUGGAAGAGGCUGCUGAUUUGCAUGCAUUCAUAUAUUCCUGUCAAUAUUCCAG